This is a long non-coding RNA of Pistacia vera, 1118 nucleotides long. RefSeq lists it as uncharacterized. Lineage: Eukaryota; Viridiplantae; Streptophyta; Magnoliopsida; Sapindales; Anacardiaceae. The transcript is spliced from 5 exons. The record is from RefSeq and is a predicted model, not a curated record.
UCCAUUCAAAACCAAAACCUUGUCUAUUGUUUUGUGAAGAUGAACCUAACUUAAACAUGUUUCAACUUCAACGCUUGCAUUUGAAUGCGAAAAUUUUCUCCUUUACAAUUCCAAACCAUAACAUUCCACUCUUCCCCCGAAACCUCUCACACUCAUCUUCUUCAGGUACUAUGCUCUGGAAUUAGGAUUUCUGAUGUUUGCAGUUGGAGUUUAUUCCAGCGAAAAGGAUCUUCUUGAAUCCUUCAAGAGACCAAUGGCUAUAUCUGACUUGUCUAAAACUCAAGCCCCAAGACCCAUAAAAAAUGUUGUAAUUCUUGACAAUGAAAAGGUUGUUGUUGGUCUAGUUGGAGCUGCUUUGGCCCUCACGACGGUGAGAGUGGGACAUGCCUCAGCUGCUGAAUUGCCAUUGUUGGCCUCAUCUUUGCAACUGAGUGAACCAUCCAAUGCCUUGUCCUUGCCCGCCUGUGGGCCGUGCAUGUCUCUAGUGUUGUUGAAUGGGUACUGCAAUGGCUUUAGUGUGGCAAUAUGGAGAGAAAUCUGAGUAUGAAGCAUGGAAAGGUCACAAUGGCUUUAGUGUGGCAAUAUGGAGAGAAAUCUGAGUGUGAAGCAUGGAAAGGUCUUUCAUGGGGAAUGGCAUUGGUGGCUCUUCAAGCUGCGCUUACAGUGAUAGGUAAUGCUACAAUGUGUUAUGCUGCGUUUCGAAUAUACAAAUCGUCAAAGGAAUGGUCACAAAAUCUGUAAAAUUCCUGUAUCAGGAUAUAAUCAUGUGCUUGAAUGCAUAUCAUUCUUGUUUAUCAGACAUAUCCAUAAUGAAGCUUUUGCAGGAAAAAAGGAAAUGGGAUGCUGGAAAGUCCUUGAUUGAUGACAAAGCCGAUUUUCAUGGGGCUAAAAUCUCAAAAUUGGAGGUAAUUCUUUGCAAAUAAAGUAAUGGAUUGUGAUCAUGUAAUUAUUGAGGAGGGAUUGAUGCAGUCAAUUACCAUGAUGUGUAGGCAGUAUCCGAAAUGAAGAAUUAUUUUUUCUCUUUUUGGAUAGCUAUAACUUGUCAAGGAGCAACUUUAUAUAUGAAUGGUGUUGACAUAUAACUAUAAGAUACUGUUGUAUACUUAUGGCCUUAUGCA